Molecule: transfer RNA, 73 nt
Filed under: Pygmaeconus traillii
Lineage: Eukaryota; Metazoa; Mollusca; Gastropoda; Neogastropoda; Conidae
Description: tRNA-Gln
Source: RNAcentral
GAUAGUUUAUAUAGCGGUGUUAGGGCACAAAGAAUUUUGAUUUCUUAAGAGAGGCUCAUUUCCUCCUAAUAAG